UACGUAGGGGGCAAGCGUUGUCCGGAUUUAUUGGGCGUAAAGCGCUCGCAGGUGGUUCGUCGCGUCGUGCGUGAAAGACCCCGGCUCAACUGGGGGAGGUCGUGCGAUACGGGCGGACUGGAGGCCAGUAGGGGGAUGCGGAAUUCCGGGUGUAGUGGUGGAAUGCGUAGAGAUCCGGAGGAACACCAGCGGCGAAGGCGGCGUCCUGGACUGGUACUGACGCUCAGGAGCGAAAGCGUGGGGAGCGAUCCGG
This 253-nucleotide ribosomal RNA is filed under the name uncultured bacterium. RNAcentral describes it as "partial 16S ribosomal RNA". It matches the Rfam family "Bacterial small subunit ribosomal RNA", at positions 524 to 776 of the family's 1533-position model. The record is from RNAcentral.